RNAcentral lists this non-coding RNA (29 nucleotides) under Mus musculus (house mouse). Lineage: Eukaryota; Metazoa; Chordata; Mammalia; Rodentia; Muridae. The record is from RNAcentral.
UGAUCUAUUGGGGAUCUGACAUUCAGGGC